RNAcentral lists this ribosomal RNA (245 nucleotides) under Staphylococcus aureus. RNAcentral describes it as "partial 16S ribosomal RNA". It matches the Rfam family "Bacterial small subunit ribosomal RNA", at positions 486 to 730 of the family's 1533-position model. Lineage: Bacteria; Bacillati; Bacillota; Bacilli; Caryophanales; Staphylococcaceae. The record is from RNAcentral.
GAAAGCCACGGCUAACUACGUGCCAGCAGCCGCGGUAAUACGUAGGUGGCAAGCGUUAUCCGGAAUUAUUGGGCGUAAAGCGCGCGUAGGCGGUUUUUUAAGUCUGAUGUGAAAGCCCACGGCUCAACCGUGGAGGGUCAUUGGAAACUGGAAAACUUGAGUGCAGAAGAGGAAAGUGGAAUUCCAUGUGUAGCGGUGAAAUGCGCAGAGAUAUGGAGGAACACCAGUGGCGAAGGCGACUUUCU